Molecule: ribosomal RNA, 200 nt
Filed under: uncultured bacterium
Lineage: Bacteria
Description: partial 16S ribosomal RNA
Rfam family: Bacterial small subunit ribosomal RNA
Source: RNAcentral
AGAGUUUGAUCAUGGCUCAGAACGAACGCUGGCGGCGUGCCUAACACAUGCAAGUCGUGCGCGAAUGGAGCAAUCCUAGUAGAGCGGCGAACGGGUGCGUAACACGUGGGUAAUCUGCCCGGAAGAUCGGAAUAACCUGCCGAAAGGCAAGCUAAUACUGAAUAAGCCCACGGGGGCUUCGGCCCCUGAGGGAAAAGAUG